Molecule: ribosomal RNA, 384 nt
Filed under: uncultured bacterium
Lineage: Bacteria
Description: bacterial SSU rRNA
Rfam family: Bacterial small subunit ribosomal RNA
Source: RNAcentral
AUUGAACGCUGGCGGAAUGCUUUACACAUGCAAGUCGAGCGGCAGCGCGGGGCAACCUGGCGGCGAGCGGCGAACGGGUGAGUAAUGCAUCGGAACAUGUCCAUGUCGUGGGGGAUAGCCCGGCGAAAGCCGGAUUAAUACCGCAUACGCCCUGAGGGGGAAAGUGGGGACCGCAAGGCCUCACGCGAUUGGGUUGGCCGAUGUCCGAUUAGCUAGUUGGCGGGGUAAGAGCCCACCAAGGCGAUGAUCGGUAGCUGGUCUGAGAGGAUGAUCAGCCACACUGGGACUGAGACACGGCCCAGACUCCUACGGGAGGCAGCAGUGGGGAAUUUUGGACAAUGGGGGAACCCUGAUCCAGCCAUUCCGCGUGAGUGAAGAAGGCCU